AUGGCGAACAUGCAGGAGUCGCUCGCCCUGGUGGGCACGAUGCGCGGCCACAACGACGUGGUGACGGCGAUCGCCGCGCCGAUCGACAACUCGCCCUACAUCGUGUCCGGCUCCCGCGACAAGUCGCUGCUGGUCUGGGACCUCACCAACCCGGUGCCGUCCCUCGGCGACGGCACCGUCGGCACCGACUACGCCGUGCCCUUCCGCCGCCUCACCGGCCACGGCCACUUCGUCCAGGACGUGGUCAUCAGCUCCGACGGCCAGUUCGCGCUCUCCGGCUCCUGGGACGGCGAGCUCCGCCUCUGGGACCUCUCCACUGGCCUCACCACCCGCCGCUUCGUCGGCCACACCAAGGACGUCAUCUCGGUCGCCUUCUCCGUCGACAACCGCCAGAUCGUCUCCGCCUCCCGCGACAACACCAUCAAGCUCUGGAACACCCUCGGCGAGUGCAAGUACACCAUCGGCGGCGACAUGGGCGGCGGCGAGGGCCACACCGGCUGGGUCUCGUGCGUCAGGUUCUCCCCCAACAUCCAGCAGCCCACCAUCGUCUCCGGCUCCUGGGACAAGACCGUCAAGGUCUGGAAUCUCACCAACUGCAAGCUCCGCUCCACCCUCGCCGGCCACGGUGGCUACGUGAACGCCGUCGCCGUCAGCCCCGAUGGCUCGCUCUGCGCCUCCGGCGGCAAGGACGGCGUCACGCUGCUCUGGGACCUGUCCGAGGGGAAGAGGCUGUACCAGCUGGAAGCCGGCUCCAUCAUCCAUGCGCUCUGCUUCUCGCCCAACCGCUACUGGCUCUGCGCUGCGACAGAGGAGUCUGUCAAGAUCUGGGACCUCGAGUCCAAGCAUGUCGUGCAGGACCUCAAGCCAGAAGUGCAGGUCUCCAAGAACCAGAUGCUGUACUGCACAAGCUUGAGCUGGAGCGCGGACGGAAGCACCCUCUACACCGGAUACACCGACGGGACCAUCAGGGUCUUCAAGAUCCAAGCCGGGUUCGCCGGAUACGCGUAG
RNAcentral lists this ribosomal RNA (1008 nucleotides) under Triticum aestivum (bread wheat). RNAcentral describes it as "partial small subunit ribosomal RNA". Lineage: Eukaryota; Viridiplantae; Streptophyta; Magnoliopsida; Poales; Poaceae. The record is from RNAcentral.